AUUGAACGCUGGCGGCAGGCCUAACACAUGCAAGUCGAGCGGAUGAGAGGAGCUUGCUCCUCGAUUCAGCGGCGGACGGGUGAGUAAUGCCUAGGAAUCUGCCUAGUAGUGGGGGACAACGUUUCGAAAGGAACGCUAAUACCGCAUACGUCCUACGGGAGAAAGUGGGGGAUCUUCGGACCUCACGCUAUUAGAUGAGCCUAGGUCGGAUUAGCUAGUUGGUAGGGUAAAGGCCUACCAAGGCGACGAUCCGUAACUGGUCUGAGAGGAUGAUCAGUCACACUGGAACUGAGACACGGUCCAGACUCCUACGGGAGGCAGCAGUGGGGAAUAUUGGACAAUGGGCGAAAGCCUGAUCCAGCCAUGCCGCGUGUGUGAAGAAGGCCUUCGGGUCGUAAAGCACUUUAAGUUGGGAGGAAGGGCUCAUAGCGAAUACCUGUGAGUUUUGACGUUACCAACAGAAUAAGCACCGGCUAACUUCGUGCCAGCAGCCGCGGUAAUACGAAGGGUGCAAGCGUUAAUCGGAAUUACUGGGCGUAAAGCGCGCGUAGGUGGCUCGAUAAGUUGGAUGUGAAAUCCCCGGGCUCAACCUGGGAACUGCAUCCAAAACUGUCUGGCUAGAGUGCGGUAGAGGGUAGUGGAAUUUCCAGUGUAGCGGUGAAAUGCGUAGAUAUUGGAAGGAACACCAGUGGCGAAGGCGACUACCUGGACUGACACUGACACUGAGGUGCGAAAGCGUGGGGAGCAAACAGG
This 753-nucleotide ribosomal RNA is filed under the name uncultured Pseudomonas sp. Its description in RNAcentral is "bacterial SSU rRNA". It matches the Rfam family "Bacterial small subunit ribosomal RNA", at positions 28 to 776 of the family's 1533-position model. The record is from RNAcentral. Lineage: Bacteria; Pseudomonadati; Pseudomonadota; Gammaproteobacteria; Pseudomonadales; Pseudomonadaceae.